This is a long non-coding RNA of Coturnix japonica (Japanese quail), 405 nucleotides long. RefSeq lists it as uncharacterized. Lineage: Eukaryota; Metazoa; Chordata; Aves; Galliformes; Phasianidae. The record is from RefSeq and is a predicted model, not a curated record.
CCCUUUCUAUCAUGGACAUAAAAGCUGUGACACAGCCUGGCAGAGCCCCGGAGCUGGUCCCAACCUCUCAUCCCAUCCUCGUGCCCUCCAUCAGAAAACUACAGCCCGAGGAAGCGGCUCGGAGGCAUCUUGAAGACUUGGAUCUGGUUUCUGGCCUCGCAGAAUGAAAAUCCGGAGACUGUGCUCACAUUUCCAUGGCUGGGGGUGAUCUCCGUUCUGUGGCAGGAGCCUGGAGCCCUUUGCUUUGUGGAAAUGAAUACAUUAUGAUGGGCACGAGCCAGAAGGAUCCUGCCUGGGUUUAGCUCUGCUGAGGCCAGAGUGCUGCAAGGAUGGGGUAGGUCCACGGUUUCUUGUAUGUGAGUGAUGCUAAUUAACAUCUGGGGAAUAACAGAAUUGUAGGGGUUG